RNAcentral lists this long non-coding RNA (1044 nucleotides) under Castor canadensis (American beaver). Its description in RNAcentral is "lncRNA (ENSCCNG00000014556.1)". The record is from RNAcentral. Lineage: Eukaryota; Metazoa; Chordata; Mammalia; Rodentia; Castoridae.
ACCUGAAUGAGAAUAGAAAAACACAAGUUAUCUAAGUGCAUUUAACAUACAAACUUUAUAUCAUAUAAAGAAUUUAUUUUGCGGGUCUUUCCUUUAGGAGUAGAAUGUGUGUCUCUUGGGAAUUACGGUCUUUAACCUAGCACUUCCAAAACCUUAGCGCUCUUAAAGAACAACAGUGCUGAAGUUACUUUUUCUUUUUGAAUAGUGUUGAACAAGCACCUUUUUCCCCUUAAGCAGCAGCCACUCCAGUUAUACUAGGAUGGCUGGGCUGCCUUUUCUCUCUGUCCUCAGCUGGCUCUUGGCUUUUAAAGAGUUAAGUGGGAGGUUUGUGAGGUCAUGUGUGACUUCGCUGGGUCUGGACUUUUGAAGCAGGUCUGUUGGAGGGAAGCUGCCUGUUGAGAGGGGAGGCUGAGAAGAGGGGAAGGACUCCUUCAACUCCUUUCAAGUUCUUAUCCCUGCAGCCCCUGAGGGACACAGUGGCAUUCUGGGAGAAUGUCACUGUGGAGUCAGUGUGUAGCAGUUUGUACUCACCACAGAAGCAGCUUUAGAAGCAUGUUAAGAGAGCGCUCUUGCAGAAGUUGAAAGUUUGCUAAGCAGAUGGAAUGGGAGAAUGUGCUUUGUCUUCUGAACAAAUGUGUUUGCUGAUAAAGGCAACUUUGGAGAUGGCAAAUUGCCUUGAGUUUGAAGUUCACUCUGUCUCAUUGAAGGUACUACUCCACUCCGUUCUGAGGAAUGCCUGUCUUUAGGCUCAUGCCACUGACCCAGGUGAACAGGAGCAAUGUGAGUGGAGAUUAUUACCAGUGCGUUUAGUUAUCUGUGCUGAUGGUCCACAGAGAUGAAGAGGAUUUCUUUUUCUUAAACAUGUGGUCCUAGGGUUUGAACCCAGGGCCUUGCACAUGCUAUGCAAGUGCUCCAUGAUUGUGCUAAAUGUUUUUAUGUUUUCUUCAAAACAAGUUUCAGUCUUAUAUCAGAUUCUUAGAUUCAGUGACCAGUUGCUUCAUCUGAGUUUCCUUCUUCUGCAUUAUUCCUAAUUGGCAUAGUUAC